GCCCCCAUCGUCUAGUGGUUC
This 21-nucleotide non-coding RNA is filed under the name Arabidopsis thaliana (thale cress). RNAcentral also lists the same sequence under 1 other name. The record is from RNAcentral. Lineage: Eukaryota; Viridiplantae; Streptophyta; Magnoliopsida; Brassicales; Brassicaceae.